This 439-nucleotide long non-coding RNA is filed under the name Vigna radiata. RNAcentral describes it as "long non-coding RNA (VRAD_LNC011100)". The record is from RNAcentral. Lineage: Eukaryota; Viridiplantae; Streptophyta; Magnoliopsida; Fabales; Fabaceae.
UUAAUCUAAUUGAUUUAUUUUUAUAUUAAGAAGAGAUUGGUGAGAAGAAGAAACGAAGAAAAAUAAAAGGUGGAGAAGGGAGGGGAGGAUGUGAGUUAUUGACGACUUGAUGGUGAUCCGAUGGUAGUUUAAUGGUGAACCAUUAGUGGUGCACUAGUAACACUAAGGCAAGAUGUUGGUUGUCCAAGUUAGAAAAGGCGGUGGACGAAGAGGAGGUGGAGGAAGAGGAAGAUGAAGAGAAAUAAAAGAGGAGGAUGAGCUAGAUGUGGCAGUGGUGGCAUGACAACGACAACAAUCCUACAAAAAAAGAAGAGGAUGAAGAAUAAGACUCAAUCGUGUAUUUUACCAAUGGAUUUGUGAUCAACGAUAAUUAUCAAUGAAUUUUGUCAUUUGUAAAUAAAGUUGUUAGUGACCACAUUACCGAUAGAUUUUUUACUAU